Molecule: ribosomal RNA, 649 nt
Filed under: uncultured bacterium
Lineage: Bacteria
Description: bacterial SSU rRNA
Rfam family: Bacterial small subunit ribosomal RNA
Source: RNAcentral
GACGAACGCUGGCGGCGUGCCUAAUACAUGCAAGUCGAGCGCAGGAAGUCAUCCGAACCCUUCGGGGGGACGUUGACGGAAUGAGCGGCGGACGGGUGAGUAACACGUAAAGAACCUGCCCUCAGGUCUGGGAUAACCACGAGAAAUCGGGGCUAAUACCGGAUGGGUCAUCGGACCGCAUGGUCCGAGGAUGAAAGGCGCUCCGGCGUCGCCUGGGGAUGGCUUUGCGGUGCAUUAGCUAGUUGGUGGGGUAAUGGCCCACCAAGGCGACGAUGCAUAGCCGACCUGAGAGGGUGAUCGGCCACACUGGGACUGAGACACGGCCCAGACUCCUACGGGAGGCAGCAGUAGGGAAUCUUCCACAAUGGACGAAAGUCUGAUGGAGCAACGCCGCGUAAACGAUGAAGGCCCUCGGGUCGUAAAGUUCUGUUGUAAGGGAAGAACAAGUGCCGCANGCAAUGGCGGCACCUUGACGGUACCUUGCGAGAAAGCCACGGCUAACUACGUGCCAGCAGCCGCGGUAAUACGUANGUGGCAAGCGUUGUCCGGAAUUAUUGGGCGUAAAGCGCGCGCAGGCGGCCUCUUAAGUCUGAUGUGAAAGCCCCCGGCUCAACCGGGGAGGGCCAUUGGNAACUGGGAGGCUUGAGUA